Molecule: ribosomal RNA, 560 nt
Filed under: uncultured bacterium
Lineage: Bacteria
Description: bacterial SSU rRNA
Rfam family: Bacterial small subunit ribosomal RNA
Source: RNAcentral
CGACAAGCCAUUUUUAGCUUGCUAUUAAUGGUGGAGGAGCGGCGUAAGGGAGAGUAACGGGUGGAUUAUCUGCCCUCAGGUCUGGGAUAGCCACGGGAAACUGUGGGUAAUACCGGAUAAUAUCUGCGGAUCAAAGGUGUGAUUCCGCCUGGGGAUGAGUCCGCCUCCUAUUAGCUUGUUGGUGGGGUAACGGCCUACCAAGGCUACGAUGGGUACCGGGUGUGAGAGCAUGGCCCGGCUCACUGGGACUGAAACACUGCCCAGACACCUACGGGUGGCUGCAGUCGAGAAUCUUCGGCAAUGGGCGCAAGCCUGACCGAGCGAUGCCGCGUGCGGGAUGAAGGCCUUCGGGUUGUAAACCGCUGUCAGUAGGGAGGAAAUCUAUGGGGGUCAUCCCCCAUAGUUGACCUAUCUUCAGAGGAAGGACGGGCUAAGUUCGUGCCAGCAGCCGCGGUAAGACGAACCGUCCAAACGUUAUUCGGAAUUACUGGGCUUAAAGGGUGCGUAGGCGGCACGGUCAGUCGGAUGUGAAAUCGUACAGCUCAACUGUACAACUGCGU